This 497-nucleotide ribosomal RNA is filed under the name uncultured bacterium. RNAcentral describes it as "partial 16S ribosomal RNA". It matches the Rfam family "Bacterial small subunit ribosomal RNA", at positions 28 to 507 of the family's 1533-position model. The record is from RNAcentral.
GAUGAACGCUGGCGGCGUGCCUAAUACAUGCAAGUCGAGCGAACAGACGAGGAGCUUGCUCCUCUGACGUUAGCGGCGGACGGGUGAGUAACACGUGGAUAACCUACCUAUAAGACUGGGAUAACUUCGGGAAACCGGAGCUAAUACCGGAUAAUAUAUUGAACCGCAUGGUUCAAUAGUGAAUGACGGUUUUGCUGUCACUUAUAGAUGGAUCCGCGCCGCAUUAGCUAGUUGGUAAGGUAACGGCUUACCAAGGCAACGAUGCGUAGCCGACCUGAGAGGGUGAUCGGCCACACUGGAACUGAGACACGGUCCAGACUCCUACGGGAGGCAGCAGUAGGGAAUCUUCCGCAAUGGGCGAAAGCUUGACGGAGCAACGCCGCGUGAGUGAUGAAGGUCUUCGGAUCGUAAAACUCUGUUAUUAGGGAAGAACAGAUGUGUAAGUAACUAUGCACGUCUUGACGGUACCUAAUCAGAAAGCCACGGCUAACUACGUG